GAUGAACGCUGGCGGCGUGCCUAAUACAUGCAAGUCGAGCGAACAGACGAGGAGCUUGCUCCUCUGACGUUAGCGGCGGACGGGUGAAUAACACGUGGAUAACCUACCUAUAAGACUGGGAUAACUUCGGGAAACCGGAGCUAAUACCGGAUAAUAAAUUGAACCGCAUGGUUCAAUAGUGAAAGACGGUUUUGCUGUCACUUAUAGAUGGAUCCGCGCCGCAUUAGCUAGUUGGUAAGGUAACGGCUUACCAAGGCGACGAUGCGUAGCCGACCUGAGAGGGUGAUCGGCCACACUGGAACUGAGACACGGUCCAGACUCCUACGGGAGGCAGCAGUAGGGAAUCUUCCGCAAUGGGCGAAAGCCUGACGGAGCAACGCCGCGUGAGUGAUGAAGGUCUUCGGAUCGUAAAACUCUGUUAUUAGGGAAGAACAAAUGUGUAAGUAACUAUGCACGUCUUGACGGUACCUAAUCAGAAAGCCACGGCUAACUACGUG
Molecule: ribosomal RNA, 497 nt
Filed under: uncultured bacterium
Lineage: Bacteria
Description: partial 16S ribosomal RNA
Rfam family: Bacterial small subunit ribosomal RNA
Source: RNAcentral